UACGAAGGGGGCUAGCGUUGUUCGGAAUCACUGGGCGUAAAGGGCGCGUAGGCGGGCUCCUAAGUCGAGGGUGAAAUCCUGUGGCUCAACCACAGAACGGCCUUCGAUACUGGGAGCCUGGAGUUCGAGAGAGGUCGGUGGAAUUGCGAGUGUAGAGGUGAAAUUCGCAGAUAUUCGCAGGAACACUAGUGGCGAAGGCGGCCAACUGGCUCGAUACUGACGCUGAGGCGCGAAAGCGUGGGGAG
Molecule: ribosomal RNA, 245 nt
Filed under: uncultured Methylobacterium sp.
Lineage: Bacteria; Pseudomonadati; Pseudomonadota; Alphaproteobacteria; Hyphomicrobiales; Methylobacteriaceae
Description: partial 16S ribosomal RNA
Rfam family: Bacterial small subunit ribosomal RNA
Source: RNAcentral